This 386-nucleotide ribosomal RNA is filed under the name uncultured bacterium. Its description in RNAcentral is "bacterial SSU rRNA". It matches the Rfam family "Bacterial small subunit ribosomal RNA", at positions 28 to 416 of the family's 1533-position model. The record is from RNAcentral.
GACGAACGCUGGCGGCGUGCUUAACACAUGCAAGUCGAACGGUAAGGCCCCUUCGGGGGUACACGAGUGGCGAACGGGUGAGUAACACGUGAGCAACCUGCCCUUGACUCUGGAAUAACAGUUGGAAACAGCUGCUAAUACUGGAUAUGCACUUAUCUCUUCCUGGGGGUGAGUGGAAAGCUCCGGCGGUCAGGGAUGGGCUCGCGGCCUAUCAGCUUGUUGGUGAGGAAUGGCUCACCAAGGCUUCGACGGGUAGCCGGCCUGAGAGGGCGACCAGCCACACUGGGACUGAGAUACGGCCCAGACUCCUACGGGAGGCAGCAGUGGGGAAUAUUGCACAAUGGGCGCAAGCCUGAUGCAGCAACGCCGCGUGCGGGAUGACGGCC